CCUACGGGUGGCAGCAGUGGGGGAUAUUGCACAAUGGGCGGAAGCCUGAUGCAGCGACGCCGCGUGAUGGAAGACGGGUUUCGGCUUGUAAACUUCUGUUCUUAGUGAAGAAGCAUGACGGUAACUGAGUAGCAAGCCACGGCUAACUACGUGCCAGCAGCCGCGGUAAUACGUAGGUGGCGAGCGUUGUCCGGAUUUACUGGGUGUAAAGGGAGCGUAGGCGGGAAGCCAAGUCAGCGGUGAAAGCUACGGGCUUAACCUGUAGACUGCAGUUGAAACUGGCUUGCUUGAGUGAAGUAGAGGUUGGCGGAAUUCCGGGUGUAGCGGUGAAAUGCGUAGAUAUUAGGAGGAACACCGGCGGCGAAGGCGGCCAACUGGGCUGUAACUGACGCUGAGGCUCGAAAGUGUGGGGAGCAAACAGGAUUAGAUACCCCUGUAGUC
Molecule: ribosomal RNA, 441 nt
Filed under: uncultured bacterium
Lineage: Bacteria
Description: partial 16S ribosomal RNA
Rfam family: Bacterial small subunit ribosomal RNA
Source: RNAcentral